RNAcentral lists this ribosomal RNA (388 nucleotides) under uncultured bacterium. RNAcentral's name for it is "bacterial SSU rRNA". It matches the Rfam family "Bacterial small subunit ribosomal RNA", at positions 989 to 1398 of the family's 1533-position model. The record is from RNAcentral.
UAUAUUUGCACUGUCAGAGAUGGGUCUUUCCUUCGGUGACUUGGUGACAGGUGCUGCAUGGCUGUCGUCAGCUCGUGUCGUGAGAUGUUCGGUUAAGUCCGGCAACGAGCGCAACCCACAUCCCUAGUUGCCAGCAAUUCGGCUGGGCACUCUAUGGAAACUGCCCGUGAUAAGCGGGAGGAAGGUGGGGAUGACGUCAAGUCCUCAUGGCCCUUACGGGUUGGGCUACACACGUGCUACAAUGGUAGUGACAAUGGGUUAAUCCCAAAAAGCUAUCUCAGUUCGGAUUGGGGUCUGCAACUCGACCCCAUGAAGUCGGAAUCGCUAGUAAUCGCGUAACAGCAUGACGCGGUGAAUACGUUCCCGGGUCUUGUACACACCGACGAUG